AUGGAAUCACUUACUUUACUAUAUCUUUUUUUUGCAUUCGCAAUUUUUGUUAUAGCCCUUGCGGCUGCUGAAGCCGCUAUUGGACUAUCCAUUCUUUCUUCCAUCCAUCGUAAUAGGAAAUCCACUCGUAUCAAUCAAUCUAAUUUAUUGAAUAAUUAG
This 159-nucleotide ribosomal RNA is filed under the name Triticum aestivum (bread wheat). RNAcentral's name for it is "partial small subunit ribosomal RNA". The record is from RNAcentral. Lineage: Eukaryota; Viridiplantae; Streptophyta; Magnoliopsida; Poales; Poaceae.